AACGAACGCUGGCGGCGUGCUUAACACAUGCAAGUCGAACGAGAAAUCCUGAGCAAUCGGGAGAGUAAAGUGGCGCACGGGUGAGUAACGCGUGGGUAACCUACCCUUCAAUCGGGGAUAACUCCGCGAAAGCGGGGUUAAUACCUAAUAAUAUUCUGGUCCCAAGGGGAUUGGAAUCAAAGGUGGCCUCUGCAUGCAAGCUACCGUUGAAGGAUGGGCCCGCGUACCAUUUAGCUUGUUGGUAGGGUAAUGGCCUACCAAGGCAACGAUGGUUAGCUGGUCUGAGAGGAUGGCCAGCCACACUGGAACUGAGACACGGUCCAGACUCCUACGGGAGGCAG
RNAcentral lists this ribosomal RNA (341 nucleotides) under uncultured Pseudomonadota bacterium. RNAcentral describes it as "bacterial SSU rRNA". It matches the Rfam family "Bacterial small subunit ribosomal RNA", at positions 29 to 351 of the family's 1533-position model. Lineage: Bacteria; Pseudomonadati; Pseudomonadota. The record is from RNAcentral.